RNAcentral lists this ribosomal RNA (258 nucleotides) under uncultured bacterium. RNAcentral describes it as "partial 16S ribosomal RNA". It matches the Rfam family "Bacterial small subunit ribosomal RNA", at positions 524 to 776 of the family's 1533-position model. The record is from RNAcentral.
UACGUAGGGCGCAAGCGUUGUCCGGAAUCAUUGGGCGUAAAGCGCACGUAGGCGGUUCGUUAUGUCGGAUGUGAAAGCCCUUGGCUUAACCGAGGAAGUGCAUCCGAAACUGGCGAGCUAGAGUACGAAAGAGGAUCGCGGAAUUCCCGGUGUAGAGGUGAAAUUCGUAGAUAUCGGGAGGAACGACCGGUGGCGAAGGCGGCGAAGUCUGGGUCGAGUACUGACGCUGAGGUGCGGAAAGCGUGGGGAGCAACAGGG